UUGACAUCCAGAGAACUUGGCAGAGAUGCCUCGGUGCCUUCGGGAACUCUGAGACAGGUGCUGCAUGGCUGUCGUCAGCUCGUGUUGUGAAAUGUUGGGUUAAGUCCGCAACGAGCGCAACCCCUAUCCUUUGUUGCCAGCGAUUCGGUCGGGAACUCAAAGGAGACUGCCGGUGAUAAACCGGAGGAAGGUGGGGAUGACGUCAAGUCAUCAUGGCCCUUACGAGUAGGGCUACACACGUGCUACAAUGGCGUAUACAAAGAGAAGCGACCUCGCGAGAGCAAGCGGACCUCAUAAAGUACGUCGUAGUCCGGAUUGGAGUCUGCAACUCGACUCCAUGAAGUCGGAAUCGCUAGUAAUCGUAGAUCAGAAUGCUACGGUCGAAUACGUUCCCGGGCCUUGUACACACCGCCCGUCACACCAUGGGAGUGGGUUGCAAAAGAAGUAGAUAGCUUAACCUUCGGGAGGGCGUUUACCACUUUGUGAUUCAUGACUGGGGUGAAGUCGUAACAAGGUAAGCGUAGCGAG
Molecule: ribosomal RNA, 528 nt
Filed under: uncultured bacterium
Lineage: Bacteria
Description: bacterial SSU rRNA
Rfam family: Bacterial small subunit ribosomal RNA
Source: RNAcentral